RNAcentral lists this long non-coding RNA (372 nucleotides) under Glycine max (soybean). RNAcentral describes it as "long non-coding RNA (GMAX_LNC001566)". Lineage: Eukaryota; Viridiplantae; Streptophyta; Magnoliopsida; Fabales; Fabaceae. The record is from RNAcentral.
GGUCUUUAUUUUUGAUAUAUUCCAUCCACAAUUUCUUUAUACUCAUUCUGGGUCAAUAAUAUGUCAGAAAAGUGGAGGUACGAUCUGUCUAAUGGUAACUUUGUUUUCACACUUUCACUAGUGAUGAUCUGAAAAGUUUCGGACUUUUCGUUGAAUUGGCCGUGGAUCACUCAUCUGAAUAAGUGGUGCACUGCAGCUACACUGCUGAUAGUUUUGGGAUUAGACUACACUCCUUUUUAUAUUCUUUUAUUCUGUACCUAUAUUUGGAAUUUGGAUGAUAAAAAUUUUAAAAGAAAAUAAAUAAUGUGAAAUUAAUAAUUUUUUAUUAUUUAAAUUACAAAGCAAUAAUGACUAGAAAAAUAGUAAGGAUUC